Molecule: unclassified non-coding RNA, 477 nt
Filed under: plant metagenome
Description: partial contains 5.8S ribosomal RNA, internal transcribed spacer 2, and large subunit ribosomal RNA
Source: RNAcentral
GCUACCCUCCGCCGGGCCAUCAUGCUUGCUUACAACACUUGCGUCGGUGUAUAGUAGCGAACGCACACUCUUAGGGGAGGGCGUGUUGAGCGAAGCGUGGGGAACAGCGCCAGAGCAGGACUCCGAAUAUACGAUAGUUGGACUCGUGAGAGAUGGCACGGAGCUCAACCAGGCCGUCUCCGAUCUGAGGGAACUCGGAAUAAGUGGCGACGACCUCACGGUCGUCUUGAAGCGUCAGGAGCCCGACGUACCGGAGCCUUUUCCGGAGGGGACGCGCUACAUCGUAAUACCCGACGGUUAUCAGGGGCUUGCGAUCCCCAUAGGAUUCGCCGCUAUCUUCACCGUCUCGGCGCUCCUCUUCGCGUUUACCGCCCCCGGCAUCGGUACGCUCGUCUUCGUGUUCUUUAUUGCCCUGGCCGCGAUCCUGGCCGCCGGGGCUUUCACGCGAGUGGGGGUGGACCCGAUCCUCAUCGAUCU